Aedes albopictus (Asian tiger mosquito) is the source of this 72-nucleotide non-coding RNA. The record is from Rfam. Lineage: Eukaryota; Metazoa; Arthropoda; Insecta; Diptera; Culicidae.
GGCUCGGUGGCUUAGUUGGUAAAGCACGUGUCUAGCGAAUAAGGGUCGUGAGUUCAAAUCUCACCUGAGCUG